GCUAGCGGCAGGCUUAAUACAUGCAAGUCGUGGGGCAGCAGGUUUGUAGCAAUACAGAUGCUGGCGACCGGCAAACGGGUGCGGAACACGUACGCAACCUCCCUCUAACUGGAAGGUAGCCCAUCGAAAGGUGGAUUAAUACUCCAUAUUAUAUUGAAGUGGCAUCACUUUAAUAUUAAAGCUCCGGCGGUAAGAGAUGGGCGUGCGUCUGAUUAGGUAGUUGGCGGGGUAACGGCCCACCAAGCCUACGAUCAGUAGCUGAUGUGAGAGCAUGAUCAGCCACACGGGCACUGAGACACGGGCCCGACUCCUACGGGAGGCAGCAGUAAGGAAUAUUGGUCAAUGGACGCAAGUCUGAACCAGCCAUGCCGCGUGGAGGAUGACGGUCCUCUGGAUUGUAAACUUCUUUUCUCUGAGACGAAACCCUCGAUUUCCAUCGAGCCUGACGGUACCAGAGGAAUAAGCACCGGCUAACUCCGUGCCAGCAGCCGCGGUAAUACGGAGGGUGCAAGCGUUAUCCGGAUUCACUGGGUUUAAAGGGUGCGUAGGUGGGCAGGUAAGUCGGUGGUGAAAUCUCUGGGCUUAACCCGGAAACUGCCAUUGAUACUAUUUGUCUUGAAUUCUCUGGAGGUAAGCGGAAUAUGUCAUGUAGCGGUGAAAUGCUUAGAUAUGACAUAGA
This 679-nucleotide ribosomal RNA is filed under the name uncultured bacterium. RNAcentral describes it as "bacterial SSU rRNA". It matches the Rfam family "Bacterial small subunit ribosomal RNA", at positions 35 to 705 of the family's 1533-position model. The record is from RNAcentral.